UACGUAGGGGGCAAGCGUUGUCCGGAUUUAUUGGGCGUAAAGAGCGUGUAGGCGGCCAGAAAAGUCCGUUGUGAAAACUAGAGGCUUAACCUCUAGACGUCGAUGGAAACUGUUUGGCUAGAGUCCGGAAGAGGAGAAUGGAAUUCCUGGUGUAGCGGUGAAAUGCGCAGAUAUCAGGAAGAACACCCGUGGCUAAGGCGGUUCUCUAGUACGGUACUGACGCUGAGACGCGAAAGCGUGGGGAGCGAACAGG
Molecule: ribosomal RNA, 253 nt
Filed under: uncultured bacterium
Lineage: Bacteria
Description: partial 16S ribosomal RNA
Rfam family: Bacterial small subunit ribosomal RNA
Source: RNAcentral